AGCGAACGCUGGCGGCAGGCCUAACACAUGCAAGUCGAACGAACCUUUCGGGGUUAGUGGCGGACGGGUGAGUAACACGUGGGAACGUGCCUUUAGGUUCGGAAUAACUCAGGGAAACUUGUGCUAAUACCGAAUGUGCCCUUCGGGGGAAAGAUUUAUCGCCUUUAGAGCGGCCCGCGUCUGAUUAGCUAGUUGGUUGAGGUAAUGGCUCACCAAGGCGACGAUCAGUAGCUGGUCUGAGAGGAUGAUCAGCCACAUUGGGACUGAGACACGGCCCAAACUCCUACGGGAGGCAACAGUGGGGAAUCUUGCGCAAUGGGCGAAAGCCUGACG
This 333-nucleotide ribosomal RNA is filed under the name Brevundimonas vesicularis. RNAcentral describes it as "bacterial SSU rRNA". It matches the Rfam family "Bacterial small subunit ribosomal RNA", at positions 29 to 388 of the family's 1533-position model. The record is from RNAcentral. Lineage: Bacteria; Pseudomonadati; Pseudomonadota; Alphaproteobacteria; Caulobacterales; Caulobacteraceae.